RNAcentral lists this ribosomal RNA (234 nucleotides) under Acinetobacter baumannii. RNAcentral describes it as "partial 16S ribosomal RNA". It matches the Rfam family "Bacterial small subunit ribosomal RNA", at positions 533 to 766 of the family's 1533-position model. The record is from RNAcentral. Lineage: Bacteria; Pseudomonadati; Pseudomonadota; Gammaproteobacteria; Moraxellales; Moraxellaceae.
GGCAAGCGUUGUUCGGAAUUACUGGGCUUAAAGGGCGCGUAGGUGUCCCGAUAAGUCAGAUGUGAAAGCUUUCGGCUCAACCGAAAAAUUGCAUCUGAAACUAUCGGGCUUGAGUCUGGGAGAGGAGAGCGGAAUUCCUGGUGUAGCGGUGAAAUGCGUAGAUAUCAGGAGGAACACCAGUGGCGAAGGCGGCUGUCUGGACAGCAACUGACGCUGAGGCGCGAAAGCGUGGGG